CUGGGCGACCAUAGUGGCCUGGUUCCACCCGAUCCCAUUUCGAACUCGGAAGUUAAGAAGGCCCGCGUUCCAAUUUGUACUGUACUUCCGUACGGGAAGGUUGGUUAGUUGCCCACU
This 117-nucleotide ribosomal RNA is filed under the name archaeon. The record is from RNAcentral.